RNAcentral lists this ribosomal RNA (458 nucleotides) under uncultured bacterium. RNAcentral's name for it is "bacterial SSU rRNA". It matches the Rfam family "Bacterial small subunit ribosomal RNA", at positions 1 to 507 of the family's 1533-position model. The record is from RNAcentral.
CGAUACGAGUUUGAUCCUGGCUCAGAACGAACGCUGGCGGCAUGCCUAACACAUGCAAGUCGAACGAACCCUUCGGGGUUAGUGGCGCACGGGUGCGUAACGCGUGGGGAUCUGCCCAAAGGUUCGGAAUAACUCAGAGAAAUUUGAGCUAAUACCGGAUAAUGUCUUCGGACCAAAGAUUUAUUGCCUUUGGAUGAACCCGCGUAGGAUUAGCUUGUUGGUGGGGUAAAGGCCUACCAAGGCGACGAUCCUUAGCUGGUCUGAGAGGAUGAUCAGCCACACUGGGACUGAGACACGGCCCAGACUCCUACGGGAGGCAGCAGUGGGGAAUAUUGGACAAUGGGCGAAAGCCUGAUCUAGCAAUGCCGCGUGAGUGAUGAAGGCCUUAGGGUUGUAAAGCUCUUUUACCAGGGAUGAUAAUGACAGUACCUGGAGAAUAAGCUCCGGCUAACUCCGUG